This 377-nucleotide ribosomal RNA is filed under the name uncultured eukaryote. RNAcentral describes it as "partial 18S ribosomal RNA". It matches the Rfam family "Eukaryotic small subunit ribosomal RNA", at positions 592 to 976 of the family's 1831-position model. The record is from RNAcentral.
CAAUAGCGUAUAUUAAAGUUGUUGCAGUUAAAAAGCUCGUAGUUGGAUUUCGGGGCAGCCUGGCUGGUCCGCCGCAAGGCGAGUACUGGUCAGCCGCCCUUCCUCUCGAAAGCCCCGACUGCUCUUCGUUGCAGUGGUCGGGUAGUUCGGGACGUUUACUUUGAAAAAAUUAGAGUGUUCAAGGCAGGCCUACGCCUGAAUACAUUAGCAUGGAAUAAUGGAAGAGGACCUCGGUCCUAUUUUGUUGGUUUCCAGGGCCGAAGUAAUGAUUAAGAGGGACAGUUGGGGGCAUUCGUAUUUAAUUGUCAGAGGUGAAAUUCUCGGAUUUAUGAAAGACGAACAACUGCGAAAGCAUUUGCCAAGGACGUUUUCAUUAA